This 487-nucleotide long non-coding RNA is filed under the name Capra hircus (goat). RNAcentral's name for it is "lncRNA (ENSCHIG00000000791.1)". Lineage: Eukaryota; Metazoa; Chordata; Mammalia; Artiodactyla; Bovidae. The record is from RNAcentral.
AUGGCCGAUGAGAUUGACUGGCUGGACUUGCCCGGCCGGUGGACCUACGGAGUUGACCGCGGUGGGAGAGUCUUCUUCAUCAAUGAUGAGGAGAAAUCAACCUGCUGGGUGCAUCCUGGAACAGCAUCACCCAUCCAGAGUGGACACUCUUCCUGUCCAGGCAGGUGUUUGAGUGCUGAGAGAAUCUGCGCCCGUUUCCUAAUGUGUCAGCCACAGGGCUCUGGCAGCGGUGCCCGGCCUGCCUCCACCUCAUGCUGGAUUCCCUCGGGCUCCCGGAAAGCUCGUCCUCCUGUGCCGCAGUUGGCGGCGGCCUCUUUGAGAGGCAGGACUCGGCCAGGGUGGCUGUUUGGGGGCGCGGCAGAGCCAGAGGCUCCCGGAGCGCCCUGUGGAGCAGGAGGCGCAGAGCCUCCGGAGCUGUGCAGCAGGGGCUGCGCCCGCCUGGAGGGCGGCCUAGACGCCUUGCAGCCAAGGUCAGCUUCCUGAGCUA